UACGCAGGGUGCAAGCGUUACUCGGAAUUACUGGGCGUAAAGCGUGCGUAGGUGGUGAGUUAAGUCUGUCGUGAAAGCCCCGGGCUCAACCUGGGAAUGGCGAUGGAUACUGGCUCGCUAGAGUGCGGUAGAGGAGAGUGGAAUUCCCGGUGUAGCAGUGAAAUGCGUAGAGAUCGGGAGGAACAUCAGUUGCGAAGGCGGCUCUCUGGACCAGCACUGACACUGAGGCACGAAAGCGUGGGGAGCAAACAGG
This 253-nucleotide ribosomal RNA is filed under the name uncultured bacterium. RNAcentral describes it as "partial 16S ribosomal RNA". It matches the Rfam family "Bacterial small subunit ribosomal RNA", at positions 524 to 776 of the family's 1533-position model. The record is from RNAcentral.